This 865-nucleotide ribosomal RNA is filed under the name uncultured Pezizomycotina. RNAcentral describes it as "eukaryotic LSU rRNA". The stretch from base 246 to 865 matches the Rfam family "Eukaryotic large subunit ribosomal RNA", at positions 1 to 635 of the family's 3401-position model. Lineage: Eukaryota; Fungi; Ascomycota. The record is from RNAcentral.
UAAUGUGAAUUGCAGAAUUCAGUGAAUCAUCGAAUCUUUGAACGCACAUUGCGCCCUCUGGUAUUCCGGGGGGCAUGCCUGUUCGAGCGUCAUUACAACCCUCAAGCUCUGCUUGGUAUUGGGCUACACCCGACUGGGUGGGCCUUAAAAUCAGUGGCGGUGCCAUCUGGCUCUAAGCGUAGUAAUUCUUCUCGCUCUGGAGAUCUAGGUGUUUGCUUGCCAGCAACCCCCAAUUUAUCAAAGGUUGACCUCGGAUCAGGUAGGGAUACCCGCUGAACUUAAGCAUAUCAAUAAGCGGAGGAAAAGAAACCAACAGGGAUUGCCUCAGUAACGGCGAGUGAAGCGGCAACAGCUCAAAUUUGAAAUCUGGCUCUUUCAGGGUCCGAGUUGUAAUUUGUAGAGGAUGCUUCGGGUGUGGCUCCGGUCUAAGUUCCUUGGAACAGGACGUCAUAGAGGGUGAGAAUCCCGUAUGUGACUGGUUGCCUAUGCUCAUGUGAAGCUCCUUCGACGAGUCGAGUUGUUUGGGAAUGCAGCUCAAAAUGGGUGGUAAAUUUCAUCUAAAGCUAAAUAUUGGCCAGAGACCGAUAGCGCACAAGUAGAGUGAUCGAAAGAUGAAAAGCACUUUGGAAAGAGAGUUAAACAGUACGUGAAAUUGUUGAAAGGGAAGCGCUUGCAACCAGACUUGCACGUAGUUAAUCAACCGGUGUUCUCACUGGUGCACUUAAUUACGUUCAGGCCAGCAUCGGUUUCGGUGGUUGGAUAAAGGCCGGGGGAAUGUGGCUUCUUUCGGGGAGUGUUAUAGCCCUCGGUGCAAUGCAGCCUACCGGGACCGAGGACCGCGCUUCGGCUAGGAUGCUGGCGUAAU